This 255-nucleotide ribosomal RNA is filed under the name uncultured bacterium. RNAcentral's name for it is "partial 16S ribosomal RNA". It matches the Rfam family "Bacterial small subunit ribosomal RNA", at positions 195 to 455 of the family's 1533-position model. The record is from RNAcentral.
GGGACCUUCGGGCCUUGCGCUAUCAGAUGAGCCUAGGUCGGAUUAGCUAGUUGGUGAGGUAAUGGCUCACCAAGGCGACGAUCCGUAACUGGUCUGAGAGGAUGAUCAGUCACACUGGAACCGAGACACGGUCCAGACUCCUACGGGAGGCAGCAGUGGGGAAUAUUGGACAAUGGGCGAAAGCCUGAUCCAGCCAAGGCGCGUGUGUGAAGAAGGUCUUCGGAUGUAAAUCACAUGGGUUGGGAGGAAGGGCAG